This 540-nucleotide ribosomal RNA is filed under the name uncultured bacterium. RNAcentral's name for it is "partial 16S ribosomal RNA". It matches the Rfam family "Bacterial small subunit ribosomal RNA", at positions 355 to 886 of the family's 1533-position model. The record is from RNAcentral.
UGGGGAAUAUUGGACAAUGGGCGCAAGCCUGAUCCAGCAAUGCCGCGUGUGUGAAGAAGGCCUUCGGGUUGUAAAGCACUUUUAUCAGGAGCGAAGCGCUGUCGGCUAAUACCCGGCGGAACUGACGGUACCUGAGGAAUAAGCACCGGCUAACUUCGUGCCAGCAGCCGCGGUAAUACGAAGGGUGCAAGCGUUAAUCGGAAUUACUGGGCGUAAAGCGUGCGUAGGCGGUUUCUUAAGUCUGCUGUGAAAUCCCCGGGCUCAACCUGGGAAUGGCAGUGGAUACUGGGAGGCUAGAGUGUGUCAGAGGGUGGUGGAAUUCCCGGUGUAGCGGUGAAAUGCGUAGAGAUCGGGAGGAACAUCAGUGGCGAAGGCGGCCACCUGGGACAACACUGACGCUGAGGCACGAAAGCGUGGGGAGCAAACAGGAUUAGAUACCCUGGUAGUCCACGCCCUAAACGAUGCGAACUGGAUGUUGGUCUCAACUCGGAGAUCAGUGUCGAAGCUAACGCGUUAAGUUCGCCGCCUGGGGAGUACGGU